AUUGAACGCUGGCGGCAGGCCUAACACAUGCAAGUCGAACGGUAACAGGAAGCAGCUUGCUGCUUCGCUGACGAGUGGCGGACGGGUGAGUAAUGUCUGGGAAACUGCCUGAUGGAGGGGGAUAACUACUGGAAACGGUAGCUAAUACCGCAUAACGUCGCAAGACCAAAGAGGGGGACCUUCGGGCCUCUUGCCAUCGGAUGUGCCCAGAUGGGAUUAGCUAGUAGGUGGGGUAACGGCUCACCUAGGCGACGAUCCCUAGCUGGUCUGAGAGGAUGACCAGCCACACUGGAACUGAGACACGGUCCAGACUCCUACGGGAGGCAGCAGUGGGGAAUAUUGCACAAUGGGCGCAAGCCUGAUGCAGCCAUGCCGCGUGUAUGAAGAAGGCCUUCGGGUUGUAAAGUACUUUCAGCGGGGAGGAAGGCGAUAAGGUUAAUAACCUUGUCGAUUGACGUUACCCGCAGAAGAAGCACCGGCUAACUCCGUGCCAGCAGCCGCGGUAAUACGGAGGGUGCAAGCGUUAAUCGGAAUUACUGGGCGUAAAGCGCACGCAGGCGGUCUGUCAAGUCGGAUGUGAAAUCCCCGGGCUCAACCUGGGAACUGCAUUCGAAACUGGCAGGCUAGAGUCUUGUAGAGGGGGGUAGAAUUCCAGGUGUAGCGGUGAAAUGCGUAGAGAUCUGGAGGAAUACCGGUGGCGAAGGCGGCCCCCUGGACAAAGACUGACGCUCA
RNAcentral lists this ribosomal RNA (732 nucleotides) under Buttiauxella sp. Its description in RNAcentral is "bacterial SSU rRNA". It matches the Rfam family "Bacterial small subunit ribosomal RNA", at positions 28 to 749 of the family's 1533-position model. The record is from RNAcentral. Lineage: Bacteria; Pseudomonadati; Pseudomonadota; Gammaproteobacteria; Enterobacterales; Enterobacteriaceae.